UUCAGGGUGCAGUAUCAGCAUGGCGUCUUUCGACACCAAGGAGACCCUUGAGCAGACCCUGCAAAGGAGGCUGCAGCACCUUGAGGUCGUGCGGGGGCCGAGCACAGUACAGCAGGGGCCCUUUGACGGCGCGGAGCUCGUGGGUGGCAAGGGUGGCGGCCGUCCUCUUCUCACAGAGAUCUUCGUGGAGCUUGGUCUGUAACACAGGAGCAGUGAUGAGCAAGGUCUCUUGUGCCCCGAAGCCCCGAGGUGUCCACACUUGACCCUUGGCUGGGCUGUGCGCCAGGACACCCUCCAGUCCAAGGUCUUCACAACCCCGCCACGCCCCUUUCCGAGACAGGGCUCCCCUCCAACUCCUCUCCACCCGGCCAGCCAGGCACUCACUUUGUGGAAUCACCAUCAGGAAAACUAUCUUAACCUAUCAAUCAGCAGACUUUCUUCCUUCUCUAAUUCUAGACAUAAUAUUUGAGAUUUCAAAGAACUAAUCUUGAACUAAAAUGUAAAUAAAGGCUGAGCUUUAAGUUGUAAA
Molecule: non-coding RNA, 529 nt
Filed under: Pongo abelii (Sumatran orangutan)
Lineage: Eukaryota; Metazoa; Chordata; Mammalia; Primates; Hominidae
Source: RNAcentral